Long non-coding RNA from Rhinopithecus roxellana (golden snub-nosed monkey), 194 nucleotides. RefSeq lists it as uncharacterized. Lineage: Eukaryota; Metazoa; Chordata; Mammalia; Primates; Cercopithecidae. The transcript is spliced from 3 exons. The record is from RefSeq and is a predicted model, not a curated record.
CGAGAGCGUGGGAAACCAGCAAGUUGAGAGAGGAUCCAGAAGUAACCCUUUCUAAAAUGGGAAAGAUGCCUUCCGAAAGCGCUUGGCCCUAAAGAGAAAACACUAGGAGGAUGAGAACUGGGAACAGAGAAGCCACUUGCUCUGCAGCUAUUUGGGCCACCAUGGGCCCCAAUUCCUACAUGAUGAGGACAAAC